RNAcentral lists this ribosomal RNA (263 nucleotides) under uncultured Pseudomonas sp. RNAcentral's name for it is "partial 16S ribosomal RNA". It matches the Rfam family "Bacterial small subunit ribosomal RNA", at positions 1122 to 1382 of the family's 1533-position model. The record is from RNAcentral. Lineage: Bacteria; Pseudomonadati; Pseudomonadota; Gammaproteobacteria; Pseudomonadales; Pseudomonadaceae.
CACGUUAUGGUGGGCACUCUAAGGAGGACUGCCGGUGGACAAACCGGAGGAAGGUGGGGAUGACGUCAAGUCAUCAUGGCCCUUACGGCCUGGGCUACACACGUGCUACAAUGGUCGGUACAAAGGGUUGCCAAGCCGCGAGGUGGAGCUAAUCCCAUAAAACCGAUCGUAGUCCGGAUCGCAGUCUGCAACUCAACUGCGUGAAGUCGGAAUCGCUAGUAAUCGUGAAUCAGAAUGUCACGGUGAAUACGUUCCCGGGCCUU